Gastrolobium bilobum is the source of this 1904-nucleotide long non-coding RNA. RefSeq lists it as uncharacterized. The record is from RefSeq and is a predicted model, not a curated record. The transcript has 6 exons. NCBI's taxonomy places the organism in Eukaryota, Viridiplantae, Streptophyta, Magnoliopsida, Fabales, Fabaceae.
UCUUCUUUAUACGAAAAAAUUCUACUGAAGCGCUACAAUGUCUCCUCCCUUAUUCAAACCUAAGCAUUACCAUCUUCCCUGCAUAAUGCAGCAUGCAGCAAAAUUCUAAAGCUAAGCCAAAGAAGCAUUUUCUCGCUAGGGUUUAUGAGCUGUUUGGAUACCGAGAAAAUGUCAAUCGGUUCUUCGAUCUCAACACCGAAGCUAAGAUCCCUCUCAUCCGUUUGGGAACAUGGCAGUCCGAUCCUGGCCUCAUCGGUGAAGCUAUUGCUGCUCCCAUCAAGGUUUCCCCGUAAUCUUUAUUCAUGCUUUCAGAUUCGCUUUUUUCUUUUAUUUUUUUCAUUUUUAAAAUUAUUUAUGUUGAAUUUGAUAGGGCUUCUUCAAUUUGUUGGAUGUUUGUCAGUACUAUUAAUCACUCUACUAACUAAUCUUUUUGUUUCUUUUAGCAUUUUUUUAGCUAUUAUGUUAUCAAUUUUCACACUUACAAGGUUUGGAAAUCUCGUAUUUCAAUAUAAUGAUAUUUGAUUAAUCAAUUUGGUACAAGUUAUUACCGCCACGUUGAUUGUGCUCAAAUCUAUGGCAACAAGAAGGAGGUAGUUCUCACAACUAGGUGUUUAUUUGUUUGUGUUGUGUUCAUUUGGUGUCUGUAUUAUCUUGAUUCAAAAGAAUUAACUACCUAUUUGAUAAUAAAUGAUUAAAAGAAGUAUUUUGGUCGUGUCUUAUAUGAGAAGAGAAUGAUGCGUUCUUUCUAUUGCUGAUCGGCUCUGUGUUGAAGAUGUUGUUUGAGGAGGGUGUAGUGAAGCAUGAGGAUAUGUGGAUUACUUCUAAGCUCUGGUUUGUUAUUAGAUUUUAGAUUAAUUAGUUUGGUUUCCAUGUUUAUGAUAAUUUAAUAAUGCUGGUAAAUUCUGUAACUGUUUGGUGUUAAAAGUUUUUGCAUAAUUGAUGAUUGUUUUUGACUUUGUUCAGUAUAUCUACCCUUUAUAAUCUUCAGCUAACCAAGGUUCAUAGUACUAAUGUGCAAGAAGAAGUCCAGAGAAUAAGAAAAGAACACCCGGAUGAUGCUUGGAGAUAAAUAAUACAACAUUCAUCUACUUUUUUUAAAUGAUUUACUCAAAAAUACCAAGUUUUUUUCUUUUAUUUUAUUUUAUUUCCACUGAAAAAGUGUAUAGAUCCUUGUUACUACCUAAAGUAUACUCAACCAUUUAUAUAAUCUCAUGUUAGAAUAAUUAUAAUUAUGUAUUUUGUCACAUGUUACUUAGAUUAUUUUGGUCUAUCAAGUUAUGUUGUGCACAUAUGUAGCUUGAAUUUUUUGUAUAGCAGGUGAAUCUAUUAUCUCUCCGGGUGCCAAGCAAGGAUUAAUCCCUCUUACUAUACCACUGUCAAAAAAUAGCUCAGGUACUGUAACUGCACUGUUAAGGUGGCCCACGGCUCCACCUGAGAUGGAAAUGCCUGUGGUGGAAGUCAGAGAACAUGGAGUGUGGCUUCUAGCUAAGAGUGUAUCUUUGAGCGGUUUCGUGAAAUUCUUAAUGAAGGAGAAAUUGACAAACGAGUUCAGUUUCUAAUUGAAGGCUUAUUUGCAAUUAGAAAAGCCAAGUUUCAGGGCUAUCCAGCUGUUCGUCCUGAGCUGGACCUUGUGGAGCAUGAAGAUCAGUUAACUCAUGAAUUUGGUCGUCAAUUAUAUUCUCUUUGGCGGAAACAUAAUGUGUCAAUCACUACUUUACUGUAAUGUUGUCACUAAGUACCUUUUCAUGUCAGCAGCUAAAGAAAACUCAUCAGAGCCCCAGAUCUUUUUUGCAUCAUUACAGUAAAAGAUAUGUACAAAGCUAGAUUGUCCCUGUAUGGACGUCUUAAACUGCCUAUUUAUCAAGUUUUUUCUUUUUGAAUGAUUUAGUAAUGUUGUAUUCUUG